AGCAGCAGCCGCGGGAAUACAGAGGGUGCAAGCGUUAAUCGGAAUUACUGGGCGUAAAGCGUGCGUAGGCGGUGAGUUAAGUCUGCUGUGAAAUCCCCGGGCUCAACCUGGGAAUGGCAGUGGAUACUGGCUCGCUAGAGUGUGUCAGAGGAUGGUGGAAUUCCCGGUGUAGCGGUGAAAUGCGUAGAGAUCGGAAGGAACAUCUGUGGCGAAGGCGACUAUCUGGGCCAACACUGACACUGAGGCACGAAAGCGUGGGGAGCAAACAGGAUUAGAUACCCCCGUAGUCCCUGUCUCUUAUAA
RNAcentral lists this ribosomal RNA (303 nucleotides) under uncultured bacterium. RNAcentral describes it as "partial 16S ribosomal RNA". It matches the Rfam family "Bacterial small subunit ribosomal RNA", at positions 507 to 809 of the family's 1533-position model. The record is from RNAcentral.